UACGGAGGGUGCAAGCGUUACUCGGAAUUACUGGGCGUAAAGCGCGCGUAGGUGGCUUGAUAAGCCGGUUGUGAAAGCCCCGGGCUCAACCUGGGAACGGCAUCCGGAACUGGCAAACUAGAGUCUUGGAGAGGGGGGUAGAAUUUCCGGUGUAGCGGUGAAAUGCGUAGAGAUCGGAAGGAAUACCAGUGGCGAAGGCGGCCUUCUGGACUGAUACUGACACUGAGGUGCGAAAGCGUGGGUAGCAAACAGG
This 253-nucleotide unclassified non-coding RNA is filed under the name uncultured Halomonadaceae bacterium. RNAcentral's name for it is "contains 16S-23S intergenic spacer region". It matches the Rfam family "Bacterial small subunit ribosomal RNA", at positions 524 to 776 of the family's 1533-position model. The record is from RNAcentral. Lineage: Bacteria; Pseudomonadati; Pseudomonadota; Gammaproteobacteria; Oceanospirillales; Halomonadaceae.